RNAcentral lists this ribosomal RNA (518 nucleotides) under uncultured marine eukaryote. Its description in RNAcentral is "bacterial SSU rRNA". It matches the Rfam family "Eukaryotic small subunit ribosomal RNA", at positions 635 to 1163 of the family's 1831-position model. The record is from RNAcentral.
UGGAUUUUGCAGGAGGGCGCACGACCGGGCUUUGCUCAGGCCGCGCGCCUACCUGUUUUUUGUCGGGGACUACGCCACUCUUAACUGGGGGGCGCUAGGACGCGGCUCGUUUACUUUGAAAAAAUUAGAGUGUUCAAAGCAGGCCUUUGCUUGAAUACAUUAGCAUGGAAUAAUGGAAUAGGACUUUGGUUCUAUUUUGUUGGUUUCUGGAACCGAAGUAAUGAUUAAUAGGGAUAGUUGGGGGCGUUUAUAUUUCCAUGUCAGAGGUGAAAUUCUUGGAUUUUGGAAAGGUAAACUUCUGCGAAAGCAUUCGCCAAGGAUGUUUUCAUUAAUCAAGAACGAAAGUUAGGGGAUCGAAGACGAUCAGAUACCGUCGUAGUCUUAACCAUAAACUAUGCCGACUAGGGAUCAGUGGACGUUAUUUUAUGACUCCAUUGGCACCUUGUGAGAAAUCAAAGUUUUUGGGUUCCGGGGGGAGUAUGGUCGCAAGGCUGAAACUUAAAGGAAUUGACGGAAGG